AAGACUAUACUUUCGGGGAUCAUCUCUAUAGUUUGUUACUAGAGAAGUUUCUCUGAUCGUGUAGAGUACUGGAAACCACGAGGAAGUGAUGCAGCGUUCUUUCCUGAGCGUGAAGCUGGCUUUUGGUGUUGCUUUAUUACAAUUGCCAUCUGCCAUCGAUAACUGUUCUUACCCCCUCUUUGAAGAGUAAGAGGGAGAGAAAGUAACCUAGAGAU
RNAcentral lists this small nucleolar RNA (215 nucleotides) under Castor canadensis (American beaver). RNAcentral describes it as "Small nucleolar RNA U3 (ENSCCNG00000028927.1)". It matches the Rfam family "Small nucleolar RNA U3". Rfam says of the family: Small nucleolar RNAs (snoRNAs) are involved in the processing and modification of rRNA in the nucleolus. There are two main classes of snoRNAs: the box C/D class, and the box H/ACA class. Lineage: Eukaryota; Metazoa; Chordata; Mammalia; Rodentia; Castoridae. The record is from Rfam by way of RNAcentral.